RNAcentral lists this ribosomal RNA (253 nucleotides) under uncultured bacterium. RNAcentral describes it as "partial 16S ribosomal RNA". It matches the Rfam family "Bacterial small subunit ribosomal RNA", at positions 524 to 776 of the family's 1533-position model. The record is from RNAcentral.
UACGUAGGCAGCGAGCGUUGUUCGGAGUUACUGGGCGUAAAGGGUGCGUAGGCGGCCCUGUAAGUAUGGUGUGAAAUCUCCCGGCUUAACUGGGAGGGUGCGCUAUAGACUGCGGGGCUCGAGUGUGGGAGAGGAAAGUGGAAUUCCUGGUGUAGCGGUGAAAUGCGUAGAUAUCAGGAGGAACACCGGUGGUGUAAACGGCUUUCUGGACCAUAACUGACGCUGAGGCACGAAAGCGUGGGUAGCAAACAGG